UGGGGAAUUUUGGACAAUGGGCGCAAGCCUGAUCCAGCCAUGCCGCGUGCGGGAAGAAGGCCUUCGGGUUGUAAACCGCUUUUGUCAGGGAAGAAAUCUUCUGAGUUAAUACCUCGGGAGGAUGACGGUACCUGAAGAAUAAGCACCGGCUAACUACGUGCCAGCAGCCGCGGUAAUACGUAGGGUGCAAGCGUUAAUCGGAAUUACUGGGCGUAAAGCGUGCGCAGGCGGUUUUGUAAGACAGAGGUGAAAUCCCCGGGCUCAACCUGGGAACUGUCUUUGUGACUGCAAGGCUUGAGUGCGGCAGAGGGGGGAUGGAAUUCCGCGUGUAGCAGUGAAAUGCGUAGAUAUGCGGAGGAACACCGAUGGCGAAGGCAAAUCCCCUGGGCCUGCACUGACGCUCAUGCACGAAAGCGUGGGGAGCAAAACAGGAUUAGAUACCCUGGUAGUCCACGCCCUAAAACGAUGUCAACUGGUUGUUGGGAAAGGUUCCUUCUCAGUAACGUAGCUAACGCGUGAAGUUGACCGCCUGGGGAGUACGGCCGCAAGGUUGAAACUU
This 559-nucleotide ribosomal RNA is filed under the name uncultured bacterium. Its description in RNAcentral is "partial 16S ribosomal RNA". It matches the Rfam family "Bacterial small subunit ribosomal RNA", at positions 355 to 902 of the family's 1533-position model. The record is from RNAcentral.